CUGCAUUCACUGAUAGCCCCUUGAAUAUAUUGCUGUUGCUCUUUGUGUUUGCGCUAGGAUAUGAAAGGAAAAUAAUCCCAGCACUUUUUGCCUGUCUCUGUGACAACCAGAUUGAAUAGGAGAGAUCACCU
Molecule: small nucleolar RNA, 131 nt
Organism: Sorex fumeus (smoky shrew)
Lineage: Eukaryota; Metazoa; Chordata; Mammalia; Eulipotyphla; Soricidae
Product: small nucleolar RNA SNORA31
Exons: 1
Source: RefSeq, a predicted model, not a curated record